UGAGUAACCUGCCCUCAGCUCUGGGAUAACUCCAAGAAAUUGGGGCUAAUACCGGAUAUGACCGCUGACCGCAUGGUCUGGUGGUGGAAAGAUUCAUCGGCUGGGGAUGGGGUCCGCGGCCUAUCAGCUUGUUGGUGGGGUAGUGGCCUACCAAGGCGACGACGGGUAGCCGGCCUGAGAGGGUGACCGGCCACACUGGGACUGAGACACGGCCCAGACUCCUACGGGA
This 229-nucleotide ribosomal RNA is filed under the name uncultured bacterium. RNAcentral describes it as "partial 16S ribosomal RNA". It matches the Rfam family "Bacterial small subunit ribosomal RNA", at positions 118 to 346 of the family's 1533-position model. The record is from RNAcentral.